CCCUUAGAGUUUGAUCCUGGCUCAGGAUGAACGCUAGCGACAGGCUUAACACAUGCAAGUCGAGGGGCAGCACGAUGUAGCAAUACAUUGGUGGCGACCGGCGCACGGGUGAGUAACGCGUAUGCAACCUACCUAUCAGAGGGGAAUAACCCGGCGAAAGUCGGACUAAUACCGCAUAAAACAGGGGUUCCACAUGGAAAUAUUUGUUAAAGAAUUAUCGCUGAUAGAUGGGCAUGCGUUCCAUUAGAUAGUUGGUGAGGUAACGGCUCACCAAGUCCACGAUGGAUAGGGGUUCUGAGAGGAAGGUCCCCCACACUGGUACUGAGACACGGACCAGACUCCUACGGGAGGCAGCAGUGAGGAAUAUUGGUCAAUGGGCGAGAGCCUGAACCAGCCAAGUCGCGUGAAGGAUGAAGGAUCUAUGGUUUGUAAACUUCUUUUAUAUGGGAAUAAAGUGAGGAACGUGUCCUUUU
Molecule: ribosomal RNA, 473 nt
Filed under: uncultured bacterium
Lineage: Bacteria
Description: bacterial SSU rRNA
Rfam family: Bacterial small subunit ribosomal RNA
Source: RNAcentral